RNAcentral lists this unclassified non-coding RNA (604 nucleotides) under Hevea brasiliensis (rubber tree). Lineage: Eukaryota; Viridiplantae; Streptophyta; Magnoliopsida; Malpighiales; Euphorbiaceae. The record is from RNAcentral.
UAUUUGAUCCAUUCAAGGAAUUAGGCUUCACAGUUUCAAAUUCAGGGGAGACCUCUGCAUUUGCCAACACUCGAAUCGACUGGAAGGAAACUCCAGAAGCUCAUGUGUUCAAGGCUGAUCUUCCAGGGCUUAAGAAGGAGGAAGUCAAAGUGGAGAUCGAAGAGGAUCGUGUUCUUCAGAUCAGCGGAGAGAGGAACGUGGAGAAAGAAGACAAGAACGAUACUUGGCACCGUGUGGAACGCAGCAGCGGGAAAUUCAUGAGAAGAUUUAGACUUCCGGAGAAUGCAAAGAUGGAUCAAGUUAAGGCGUCUAUGGAGAAUGGAGUGCUUACUGUUACUGUUCCGAAGGAGGAGGUGAAGAAGCCUGAUGUCAAGUCCAUUGAGAUCUCUGGUUAAAUGCUCUGGUUGGGAACAAACCUGUAGUAUUAAGUCAAGUGUGUACUGUCGAAGAUUUUGAGUUUACUUAUUUUCUGUCUGUGUCUUGUGCGCUGAGUCGUUUUACUAGUUGGUUGUUAUCUGUUUGAUGUAUUUUCCUUGAGAACUCUUAUGUGUGAAAGAAUGUAUUACUACUAAUAAUAGUAUUUCUGGUGCCAUUCUGCAAUCUG